UUAAAAACUAUGAAAAAGGAAAGUAGCGCAAAGAAAGUUUACAGAGAGAAAAGGAAGCUGAGAACUUUUCAUCAAGAAUUUGUGUGAAGUGCCCUUUGGAGUUGAAGUCUGAAUAUAGGCGAGUUUUCCUAUAUAAUUUAAAAUGUGUAUAAAACAUUUUAAAUUAUAUUUUUGUAUACCUUAGUAAGAUUCUCCGGGUUCACCCGUUAUAGUGAUAUGGCAUUUUAUAGUGCUAAGUUGAGGGGAAUUAACUGUGUUUAAUUCAAUUAGAGUGGGACCGCGAAUUUUGCUUCGUCUCUAUA
RNAcentral lists this non-coding RNA (302 nucleotides) under Clostridium sp. RNAcentral describes it as "T-box sequence". It matches the Rfam family "T-box leader". Rfam says of the family: Uncharged tRNA acts as the effector for transcription antitermination of genes in the T-box leader family. T-boxes are found upstream of many aminoacyl-tRNA synthetase genes and some amino acid biosynthetic genes usually in Gram-positive bacteria. Lineage: Bacteria; Bacillati; Bacillota; Clostridia; Eubacteriales; Clostridiaceae. The record is from RNAcentral.